RNAcentral lists this ribosomal RNA (254 nucleotides) under uncultured bacterium. Its description in RNAcentral is "partial 16S ribosomal RNA". It matches the Rfam family "Bacterial small subunit ribosomal RNA", at positions 524 to 776 of the family's 1533-position model. The record is from RNAcentral.
UACGUAGGGAGCAAGCGUUGUUCGGAUUUACUGGGCGUAAAGGGCACGUAGGCGGCAAAUUAAGUCAGCUGUGAAAUCUCCGAGCUUAACUCGGAACGGUCAGCUGAUACUGAUCUGCUAGAGUGCGGAAGGGGCAAUCGGAAUUCUUGGUGUAGCGGUGAAAUGCGUAGAUAUCAAGAGGAACACCUGAGGUGAAGACGGGUUGCUGGGCCGACACUGACGCUGAGUGCGCGAAAGCCAGGGGAGCAAACGGG